AGCGAACGCUGGCGGCAGGCCUAACACAUGCAAGUCGAACGGAUCCUUCGGGAUUCGUCGCGGACGGGUGAGUAACACGUGGGAACGUGCCCUUUGGUUCGGUACAACCCAGGGAAACUUGAGCUAAUACCGGAUGUGCCCUUCGGGGGAAAGAUUUAUCGCCAUGGGUGCGACGCGCGUCGGAUUAGGUGGUUGGUGAGGUAAGGGUCCACCAAGGCGGGGCGCAGUAGCUGGUGGGAGAGGAGGAGCCGCCGCACUGGGGCUGAGACACGGCCCAGACUGGUACGGGAGGGAGCGGUGGGGAAUCGUGGGGAAGGGGGGAAGGCGUGAGGGAGCCAUGCGGGGUGAAUGAUGAAGGGGUUAGGAUUGUAAAGUUCUUUCAGCGGGGACGAUAAUGACGGUACCGGCAGAAGAAGCGCCGGCUAACUUCGUG
RNAcentral lists this ribosomal RNA (433 nucleotides) under uncultured bacterium. RNAcentral's name for it is "partial 16S ribosomal RNA". It matches the Rfam family "Bacterial small subunit ribosomal RNA", at positions 30 to 507 of the family's 1533-position model. The record is from RNAcentral.